CUCACCUCACGGUCCGCCCCACUUGAGCUGGACCCCAUGGCUUCUCUGCCUCCCCCUUGCUGUUGUUUUCUCACCCUGCUUGGACGUAGUAAAUGGAACUGUGCCUGUUCUCUGUCUCUUCGCUGUGCUUCUGGGUUCCAGUACGCAACUUCCCUUUUGACUCGUUGCCCCACGGCUGCUUCCUCGCCGUUACAUUUUAGCAUCGUGGAGCUGAAGAAAGCUCGCAGGUCACACAUUCACAUGGCAGCCGCACGAUAUCCGCAGGAAGCCGCUUCGAUGAACCCGUCCGGGGAGCGGGCAACUCGUCCCAAAGCUGGCUGAUGCAUCAAGACCCUGAAUGCUAAAGAAGGAGGCCUUAUUCCGGACGUCCCUUCCUUCAGACGUUGCCGACGCAUCGGCCAUCGGCCUCCGUCCAGAGCAGAACAUCACAGAUGAUGUCAUACUCCAUGGGGGAUUCGGGGCUGAGGUUUUGGUGGAGCGUGGAUGUGUGUCUGUGUCGACCUCCGGUUGCGUUCUUCUUUGGUUUGACAGACGAGGCCUCACGGACACUUUCGCGCCGUUUGCUCCACUGGAGAGGAGCUGUGGUGUGUGAUGGGUUUACUGAGCAACUAGACCACAGCGGUGUGUGUUUUCAGGCCUGGCACCUGUUGCACCUUCCACGGUGCAGGAAAUCACAGCCGGACAGUCUGUUAUUUUGAAAAUGAUUUUUAUUGGGAGAACUACAAAAUAAAUGUACAGCACAAAGUUAACAGUAUCACACUUGAUUUGUAGUGAACUGACUCCCCGAAAAAUAAAAUUACAAAAAGAAAUUACAACUUGUCUUUAUCCGUUGUUACAUUCAAAAAGCUUUACUUCUGAUAAAGUAGUCAAAAGUACAUAGUGCGCUUUCCCCCUGUACCUACUAUGUACAAAACCAACCUUGCUCAUCCACUUCCCUCUCCAGCAAACUCCAGACUCAACUAGAUUUCAAUAGAAGAAAGAACAUAAGAGCCAAAAGGAAAUCAAAUAAGAGGAAUGGGGAUUUAGAGAGAUUACGGUUGUUUUUGUCAGGGUCUGAGUGGUAACAACCUUUAUAAAAAGUUUGAGUCCAACACUACAUUCAGUUCAACCGGUGUAUAGAAGAUGCCAUUUAGGAAAAAUACUUUAUUUGGUUAAUUUUAAGGCAUGUCAAGAUGGUGACCCCAUAUAGGCACUACACAAUAAUACUGGGGCACGAGGGAUUGCUACAUUCUUUAGCACGUGGCUGGAAUCACAGUGUGACCUCAUGCGAACAGAAAACGGAAAAAAAUUGAAAUACUUUUUGGUUAAUUUAUUGACUUGGGUUCUGUCACUGAAGUAUGAUCUAGAUCGACAAAAAUAAGUAAGGUUUGGACGGUCUGUACAACCACAUUGUUUAUACAUUCUACGGAAACGUCUAAAUAAGGAUCCUCCAAAAAAACAAAAAAAGUCAUCUACAGCACUGACACACAACCUUGGGAGCAAACGGCAAUCACGCAAACUUUUUAAUAAAACGUAAACAGGGAAACAAAAUUAAUGAAAUAAAUAUCACAGACGUUCUUAAAUUAAGAUUUUUUUUAACUCAUUUACAAUAAAAAAUAACCAAGUGAAGUUACAAAAAAAAGAGAAAAACAAAAUAUAUAACAAUAUAUAUUACUGUGAAAAGAACAUACACUCCACUUUAUGCAGAUUAAUAAUGGCGACCAUAAUUUAAACAUAAAAGAAUAUAGAUCUAUUGCUUCAUCAUACUUGAUAAAUACAGUAUGGACACAAAUUACCAAUGUAGCCUAUACGUUUUCACAAGAUAAUAAAUAAGUUAAAUAGUCCAUAGCCAGUUA
Molecule: long non-coding RNA, 1835 nt
Organism: Gasterosteus aculeatus aculeatus (three-spined stickleback)
Lineage: Eukaryota; Metazoa; Chordata; Actinopteri; Perciformes; Gasterosteidae
Source: Ensembl